CUGGCUUAUUCUUGGGCUCACUGUCCCCUGAGGGAUGGGUUUCUAAGAGGAGCUACCCAGACCUGGCAGAAGAUGCAACAAUCCUCAUUCACAAAGGGCCUGGGGUUUGUGUGAUAAGUCCCCAAAGGCAGCUCUACUAAGUGCAGUGCUGCCCAGGAGAGGCCCACGUAAGGGAAGCAGGGCCUGGAAAGAAAUAUGUCCAGCCCGAGGAUUCAGCGUGCUAGCAACCACAGGCGAGUUCCCGUGGAAUUGCGACACCUGCUUGAAACCCAGGGACCUCAAUUCCCGUUAGAGAAGGGAGACACAGAUCUGGGAAACAAAUAGCCUCCUCUGGAAACCCAUGUGCUUCCCCAAGCUGCUCACACCUUCUCCCCUGAUAGCUCGAUGCUGUGCAGGAGAUGUGACUGCCUGUCCCCCGCCGUUCCCGGAUAGCUCUGCAUGUGCCUCCUUCCCACGCUUCACGGGGCCCAGCACUGGAAGUCUCCAUGCAGAAAACUCAGCAGUUUCCCACGAGACACUCUGCACCUGGGUGAGGGUCUGCACAGGCGACCAUCCAGUUCUUCUCUGGGCUCCUCGAAGAUCAGCGCUGGAUGUUAAUGUGGUCCUUCUCCCUGGGAUGCCAUGCCCCUGAUGUGGUUUCAGCCUGUGUGUUGGUGAGCUGAAGCGUACCCGCCUUACAGCUUCUCCUCGGCAAGAGGACCACGUGAGUCCUUCUCCAAACAGUGGGGUGUUUGCACCCAUCUUCUGUCACGGCUCCGCUCCUUUCUCCACAGACAGAGGCAAAGUUUCAUGCAAGGUCGGGAGCUCCUCGCUCUUAUUCCGAGUACCGGCUUUGUAGGGAAAGGGGUGCGUUGCGGGCCAUAUUUGCCACACUUUAGCCACUCAGCUUCCACUCCCUGGUCCUAAUGACAUUGAUUUCCUUCUGGUGAAUUACCUCCAUGCCAC
This 945-nucleotide long non-coding RNA is filed under the name Mustela putorius furo (domestic ferret). RNAcentral describes it as "lncRNA (ENSMPUG00000029202.1)". Lineage: Eukaryota; Metazoa; Chordata; Mammalia; Carnivora; Mustelidae. The record is from RNAcentral.